RNAcentral lists this microRNA precursor (136 nucleotides) under Hordeum vulgare. RNAcentral describes it as "microRNA MIR1122". It matches the Rfam family "MIR1120/MIR1122 microRNA precursor family". Lineage: Eukaryota; Viridiplantae; Streptophyta; Magnoliopsida; Poales; Poaceae. The record is from RNAcentral.
GUUGUACUCCCUCCGUCCCAAAAUUCAUGUAUUAAAUUUGUCUAUGUAUGAAUGUAUCUAGUCACGUUUUAGUAUUUUGAUACAUCAAUUUCUAGACAAAUCUAAGAAAAGAAUUUUGAGACGGAGGGAGUAGUAA